CCUACGGGAGGCAGCAGUGAGGAAUAUUGGUCAAUGGCCGGAAGGCUGAACCAGCCAUGCCGCGUGAAGGUCAGUGCCCUAUGGGCGUUAAACUUCUUUUGUGCGGGAGCAAUAAUGGUCACGUGUGGCCAGACGAGAGUACCGUACGAAUAAGCAUCGGCUAACUCCGUGCCAGCAGCCGCGGUAAUACGGGGGAUGCAAGCGUUAUCCGGAUUUAUUGGGUUUAAAGGGUGCGUAGGCUGUGAGGUAAGUCAGCGGUGAAAUGCCCCCGUUCAACGGGGUGAAGUGCCAUUGAUACUGGCUGGCUGGAGUGCGGAUGCGGUGGGAGGAAUGUGUGGUGUAGCGGUGAAAUGCAUAGAUAUCACACAGAACACCGAUUGCGAAGGCAUCUCACGAAUCCGCGAUUGACGCUGAUGCACGAAAGCGUGGGUAUCAAACAGGAUUAGAUACCCGGGUAGUC
Molecule: ribosomal RNA, 460 nt
Filed under: uncultured bacterium
Lineage: Bacteria
Description: partial 16S ribosomal RNA
Rfam family: Bacterial small subunit ribosomal RNA
Source: RNAcentral